Molecule: ribosomal RNA, 658 nt
Filed under: Streptomyces zaomyceticus
Lineage: Bacteria; Bacillati; Actinomycetota; Actinomycetes; Kitasatosporales; Streptomycetaceae
Description: bacterial SSU rRNA
Rfam family: Bacterial small subunit ribosomal RNA
Source: RNAcentral
GCCCUUCGGGGUGGAUUAGUGGCGAACGGGUGAGUAACACGUGGGCAAUCUGCCCUUCACUCUGGGACAAGCCCUGGAAACGGGGUCUAAUACCGGAUAACACCGGCUUCCGCAUGGGAGCUGGUUGAAAGCUCCGGCGGUGAAGGAUGAGCCCGCGGCCUAUCAGCUUGUUGGUGGGGUAAUGGCCUACCAAGGCGACGACGGGUAGCCGGCCUGAGAGGGCGACCGGCCACACUGGGACUGAGACACGGCCCAGACUCCUACGGGAGGCAGCAGUGGGGAAUAUUGCACAAUGGGCGAAAGCCUGAUGCAGCGACGCCGCGUGAGGGAUGACGGCCUUCGGGUUGUAAACCUCUUUCAGCAGGGAAGAAGCGAAAGUGACGGUACCUGCAGAAGAAGCGCCGGCUAACUACGUGCCAGCAGCCGCGGUAAUACGUAGGGCGCAAGCGUUGUCCGGAAUUAUUGGGCGUAAAGAGCUCGUAGGCGGCUUGUCACGUCGGGUGUGAAAGCCCGGGGCUUAACCCCGGGUCUGCAUCCGAUACGGGCAGGCUAGAGUGUGGUAGGGGAGAUCGGAAUUCCUGGUGUAGCGGUGAAAUGCGCAGAUAUCAGGAGGAACACCGGUGGCGAAGGCGGAUCUCUGGGCCAUUACUGACGCUGA